Molecule: ribosomal RNA, 638 nt
Filed under: Campylobacter fetus
Lineage: Bacteria; Pseudomonadati; Campylobacterota; Epsilonproteobacteria; Campylobacterales; Campylobacteraceae
Description: bacterial LSU rRNA
Rfam family: Bacterial large subunit ribosomal RNA
Source: RNAcentral
GCAAGUGGUAGGAGAGCGUUCUAUUCAGCGUUGAAGGUAUACCGGUAAGGAGUGCUGGAGCGGAUAGAAGUGAGCAUGCAGGCAUGAGUAGCGAUAAUUGAUGUGAGAAUCAUCAACGCCAAAAACCCAAGGUUUCCUACGCGAUGCUCGUCAUCGUAGGGUUAGUCGGGUCCUAAGCAAAGUCCGAAAGGGGUAUGCGAUGGAAAAUUGGUUAAUAUUCCAAUACCAAUUAUUAUGUGCGAUGGAAGGACGCUUAAAGUUAGUGGAGCUAGCGGAUGGAAGUGCUAGUCUAAGGGUGUAGGUUGAGUUAUAGGCAAAUCCGUAACUCUUUAUCCGAGACCUAAAAGGCUCAUGACGCUCUUCGGAGUAGAUUGAGAAUCCAUGAUACUAUCGAGCCAAGAAAAGUUUCUAAGUUUAGUAAUAAUUGCCCGUACCGUAAACCGACACAGGUGGGUGGGAUGAGUAUUCUAAGGCGCGUGGAAGAACUCUCUUUAAGGAACUCUGCAAAAUAGCACCGUAUCUUCGGUAUAAGGUGUGCCUAACUUUGUAUUAAGAUUCACUCCCAAAGCAAAGAAGGUUACAACAAAGAGUCCCUCCCGACUGUUUACCAUAAACACAGCACUCUGCUAACACGUAAG